UACGGAGGGUGCAAGCGUUACUCGGAAUCACUGGGCGUAAAGGACGCGUAGGCGGAUUAUCAAGUCUUUUGUGAAAUCUAACGGCUUAACCGUUAAACUGCUUGGGAAACUGAUAAUCUAGAGUGGGGGAGAGGCAGAUGGAAUUCUUGGUGUAGGGGUAAAAUCCGUAGAGAUCAAGAAGAAUACCCAUUGCGAAGGCGAUCUGCUAGAACCUAACUGACGCUAAUGCGUGAAAGCGUGGGGAGCAAAC
This 250-nucleotide ribosomal RNA is filed under the name uncultured prokaryote. Its description in RNAcentral is "partial 16S ribosomal RNA". It matches the Rfam family "Bacterial small subunit ribosomal RNA", at positions 524 to 773 of the family's 1533-position model. The record is from RNAcentral.